CCAAUAGCGUAUAUUAAAGUUGUUGCAGUUAAAAAGCUCGUAGUUGAAUUUUGGAUUCGGCCAAUUGGUCCAUCUUUUAGAUGAGUACUGGUUGUGUUGGGUCUAUCCGCCUGGUGAUACGUAAUGCCCUUUAUUGGGUGUUGCGGGUAGUCAGGACCUUUACCUUGAAAAAAUUAGAGUGUUUAAAGCAGGCUUAUGCCGGAAUACAUUAGCAUGGAAUAAUAGAAUAGGACGAAGUUGUUUUAUUUUGUUGGUUUCUAGGACAACCGUAAUGAUUAAUAGGGAUAGUUGGGGGCAUUAGUAUUCAAUUGUCAGAGGUGAAAUUCUUGGAUUUAUUGAAGACUAACUACUGCGAAAGCAUUUGCCAAGGAUGUUUUCAUUAAUCAAGAACGAAAGUUAGGGGAUCGAAGACGAUCAGAUACCGUCGUAGUCUUAACCAUAAACUAUGCCGACUAGGGAUCGGGCGAUGUUGUUUCCAUGACUCGCUCGGCACCUUAUG
This 499-nucleotide ribosomal RNA is filed under the name uncultured Glomeromycotina. RNAcentral describes it as "partial small subunit ribosomal RNA". It matches the Rfam family "Eukaryotic small subunit ribosomal RNA", at positions 591 to 1092 of the family's 1831-position model. The record is from RNAcentral. Lineage: Eukaryota; Fungi; Glomeromycota.